RNAcentral lists this ribosomal RNA (321 nucleotides) under Blastocystis sp. RNAcentral's name for it is "SSU rRNA". It matches the Rfam family "Eukaryotic small subunit ribosomal RNA", at positions 547 to 878 of the family's 1831-position model. The record is from RNAcentral. Lineage: Eukaryota; Bigyra; Opalinata; Blastocystidae.
AUUGGAGGGCAAGUCUGGUGCCAGCAGCCGCGGUAAUUCCAGCUCCAAUAGCGUAUAUUAACGUUGUUGCAGUUAAAAAGCUCGUAGUUGAAGUGUGGGUGAUCGCUGUUGUGAGACUUCGGUCUCUCGACAGUAAGUCACCCCCUUCCAGUAUCCAGUAGUGGGUAUUCAGUUACUUACUAUUGUGUGUUGGUCCUUUACUGUGAGAAAAUUAGAGUGUUCAAAGCAGGCGUUUGCUUGAAUAGAUUAGCAUGGAAUAAUAAUUGAAGGCUUUCGUGUUCGAUUUGAUUGGUUUGUUCAUGGAAGCAAGGUUAAAAGGAA